UACACCCACCCCAAAACACUAAAGUGCAAGUUAUCAAGGUACACGUACUUGUAUUUUACUAAAAAACCAAAUUUCUUUAUUUUAUGUCAUCUAAAUUUAAAGGAUAUUAUUGUCAAAUUUACUUUAUUUUUCAAAUAAAAAAAACAAGCACCUUAUCUUGUUUUUACGCUUGCAACACCCGUGGGAGGAAUUAAGAAAGUGAGUAUAAAUUAUUUGUUAUAAGUUAUAAAAAUAAGUGUAAAUAAUUAAGUGGGUGUAUAAUUCUAACUUGCACUUUAAUAAUUUUAGGUGGGUGUAACUUGCUAACUUACAUCUUAGUGUUUUUAGGUAGAUGUAAAUUAGUAUCCUUAUAUUUUUUUUUUAAACCGGAUAUCUUCCACGUGCAACUGUAAAUUAUUAUCCUUAUACUUUUAUGUUUCAUUUGUAUUUUUAACAAAUUCCUUCUUUUCACUUCAUUUGGUGGUAACUGUACCAAUUUGGGAAAAACCACCGUACUGGAGUUUCUCUGCUGCCGUGAACCACCACACCGGAGACAAUUUGGGACUGAGAUUGAAGCAAGGUGAGUUAAUUUCCUCUUUUUCCUCUUUGAGUUGGCCUAAACAUGAAAAUCCAUUUCCCUAAUUUUCUCAAUUCUCAUGUUUGGCUGAAAUUGUUGUUACAUGUGGAGUCCUCUCACCCAAAGUAUGUGUAUUGAACUGGUAUGGGUUGAAAUUUCAAUGGAAUUGGGGAAGAAGAAAGAGUUGAAGAAGAUUAAGAAUUAUUGACUUUUCCUAAAUAAUUUAAAACCUGCUCUCAAAAUAAACAAGGUUCUAUGAUGGUACUAAUUGGAUAUGUCAAUGCUAGUUGCGUUAUUUUGGUUGGGCCUUUAGGAUGCUUUUUUAUCGUGGAAUCAAGCACGAACUUACGAGUUAAAGUUUCACUAUGGUUCUAAUGUUGAUAAAGAAAGGAUUGAUCAAGUAAAGAUUGUCACUUCCAUGUUAAUGAUUAUAUUUUGUAUGUACUUUGCUGUCAAAAGUUAUUUUGUAAGCAAUACUUGAUGUAAUAUCUCGAAUUAUACUUGUUUGUAAUGUAUCACUAUCUCAUGUGGGAUUGGAAAUCUUUCCAACCUACAAAUGUGUAAGGCUUUAAUAACUUUUAUUAUCAUUCUUUA
Medicago truncatula (barrel medic) is the source of this 1150-nucleotide long non-coding RNA. RefSeq lists it as uncharacterized. NCBI's taxonomy places the organism in Eukaryota, Viridiplantae, Streptophyta, Magnoliopsida, Fabales, Fabaceae. The record is from RefSeq and is a predicted model, not a curated record. The transcript is spliced from 3 exons.